CCUACGGGCGGCAGCAGUGAGGAAUAUUGGUCAAUGGGCGCGAGCCUGAACCAGCCAAGUAGCGUGAAGGAUGACUGCCCUACGGGUUGUAAACUUCUUUUAUCAAGGAAUAAAGUGCGGGACGUGUGCCUUUUUGUAUGUACUUUCUGAAUAAGGAUCGGCUAACUCCGUGCCAGCAGCCGCGGUAAUACGGAGGAUCCGAGCGUUAUCCGGAUUUAUUGGGUUUAAAGGGAGCGGAGAUGGGUUGUUAAGUCAGUUGUGAAAGUUUGCGGCGCAACCGUAUAAUUGCAAUUGAUACUGGCAGUCUUGAGUACAGUUGAGGUAGGCGGAAUGCGUGGUGUAGCGGUGAAAUGCUUAGAUAUCACGAAGAACUCCGAUUGCGAAGGCAGCGUACUAAACUGCCACUGACAUUGAUGCUCGAAAGUGUGGGUAUCAAACAGGAUUAGAUACCCCUGUAGUC
This 460-nucleotide ribosomal RNA is filed under the name uncultured bacterium. RNAcentral's name for it is "partial 16S ribosomal RNA". It matches the Rfam family "Bacterial small subunit ribosomal RNA", at positions 338 to 795 of the family's 1533-position model. The record is from RNAcentral.